RNAcentral lists this ribosomal RNA (255 nucleotides) under uncultured bacterium. RNAcentral's name for it is "partial 16S ribosomal RNA". It matches the Rfam family "Bacterial small subunit ribosomal RNA", at positions 163 to 418 of the family's 1533-position model. The record is from RNAcentral.
UUAAUGCCUCAUAAACCCGACUGUGUGCAUGCACAGACGGUCAAAGAUUUAUCGGUACAGGAUGGGCCUGCGUCUGAUUAGCUAGUUGGUAAGGUAACGGCUUACCAAGGCGACGAUCAGUAGCCGACCUGAGAGGGUGAACGGCCACAUUGGAACUGAGACACGGUCCAAACUCCUACGGGAGGCAGCAGUGGGGAAGGUAACACAAUGGGGGAAACCCUGAUGCAGCAACGCCGCGUGAGCUAUGAAGGCCUU